UUCUUUUUAAAUUGGUUCUUGACAAAACCGUUUUUAAAAGAUUUUCUUUUAAAUCGGUUCUUGACCAAACUGUUUUUAAAAAGAUUUUUCUUUAUUUUUAAACCUUGGAUGGAUGUUACGCUCUGAUACCAGAGUUUUCGGCAGAGGUAGCUGCAUUUGCGGAAGGUAAUCUUUCGAGGGUCUUUUGAAUCCUUGAGAGAUUUAAGUCUCUUUGGAGACAUUUUUGAAAACUUCUAACGUCGUCUUCAUCAUAUGUUUGGGUUUGUGAUGCCCAUUCUAUAGUGCCUUC
RNAcentral lists this long non-coding RNA (289 nucleotides) under Trifolium pratense (red clover). RNAcentral's name for it is "long non-coding RNA (TPRA_LNC007806)". Lineage: Eukaryota; Viridiplantae; Streptophyta; Magnoliopsida; Fabales; Fabaceae. The record is from RNAcentral.